RNAcentral lists this long non-coding RNA (249 nucleotides) under Elaeis guineensis (African oil palm). RNAcentral describes it as "long non-coding RNA (EGUI_LNC016988)". Lineage: Eukaryota; Viridiplantae; Streptophyta; Magnoliopsida; Arecales; Arecaceae. The record is from RNAcentral.
AUACAUGCUUUAGUCAAAGACUUUCUGAACUUAGUCUCGCAAAUAGCAUAGGACUUCUCUUUUUUUAUCAAGAUUGAUAGAUUCCAUCUAAGUGCAUUCUACUCCAACAGUAAACCUGAACCUACUAUAGCCAACAUAUAUAGCAAGAAUCCGAAUGGCUAAGGAUCAAGAGAACAUGCAAUCAAACUCAGUAGCCUUGCUGUGAAUAGCUGAUCACACCGCAGGUCAAAGGACUACCCACACCACUAC